Long non-coding RNA from Pocillopora damicornis (cauliflower coral), 980 nucleotides. The record is from RefSeq and is a predicted model, not a curated record. NCBI's taxonomy places the organism in Eukaryota, Metazoa, Cnidaria, Anthozoa, Scleractinia, Pocilloporidae.
AAAAAGGUUUAUAAAUGUUAAUAUGGUUUUAUCAACUACAUUGAUAAAGUAAAUUGGCCACCAUAAAGAGUUUCUAGGCUGAUAUUUCAAGCAUUAGCCCCUCGUCAGAGCCAAUAGAGGAAUUGUGGGUUGUGUGUGUUUAUAUGCAGAAAAUAGAGCUAAGGCUAUUAGUGGGAACAUGGUAACAAGAAAAACAUGAAUAAACUAGCUGAAUGAAAAGUGUACAUUGAUACAAAGGGGAUUAAGAGCACUGAUUUGAAAGAUAAAUUUUUGUUCUACAGUUUUGUGGCUUUCUGAACUCCUUAGAUGUAGGGGAAGGCCACAGACUGAUAUAUGCUGCUUGGAAUGAUUAGAGGAAUUAAAGUUUUUAGAGACUGGUUUGGAAGCAUCAUUGUCAUUCUUCUAUACAUCCCAAAGAUGUUCUCAGAAUAGUCAAUAAGAUGCCUUCCUGUUUUACCAAGGUAUAUCUUUUACAAGUCAUGCAAAACAUGACAUUGGCAGAGGUGCAUGUGAAGCAAUUAUUAAUCCUAAUGCAUCAUUUGAGUCCCAGUAUUUCUUGACAUAAUGAACCAAAGGACAAGUUUUACACUGUGGGAGAGCGCAGGUGAAAGUUCCAGGGUAGUGGCCCACUUGGAUGGCAGAAACAGGAUAGCCACAUUUUUCCAAAAACUGGCGCAUUACCUCUGAUUUGUUAGAAAAAUCAGAGUUGUCACUACAUAAACAAUGAAGUCUAAGAAACUAAGAAAAAGGAAUAGAAUUCUUGACAUGUGAUGGAAUCAAAGAUGAAUACAACAAGUAACUAUGUGAGCAUGUAGGUUUGUAGUAUGCACUAAGUGUAUGGACCAUUGCCUUCAGGUUUGGGGCAGUUGUAUUGACUGAAAAAUUUGUGUUUGAUAAAACCUACAGAAAGAUAAGUGGUAAUUGGUUCCCAUUCAUAAAUGUUAGCUGAGAGUGUGAAAUAAAAAAAAAAUAAAAUAAAA